This 486-nucleotide ribosomal RNA is filed under the name Triticum aestivum (bread wheat). Its description in RNAcentral is "partial small subunit ribosomal RNA". Lineage: Eukaryota; Viridiplantae; Streptophyta; Magnoliopsida; Poales; Poaceae. The record is from RNAcentral.
AUGGUUGAUUGUAAUCUGUCGGCUACUCCCAUUGAUGCCAAAUAUAAGCUCUCGGUGCAAGAUGGGUUUCUCCUUACUGAUCCCACCGAGUACCGCAUCUAUGCUAGAGCUCUACAGUACUUGACACUCACGCGACCCGACAUCGCCCACGCUGUUCAGCAUGCUUGUCUCUAUAUGCAUGCACCUCGCGAGCCGCAUCUGCACCUGGUCAAGCAUAUCCUCUGGUAUAUCAGGGGCACACUUGACCUUAGCUUCCGCAUCUCCUGCUCAUCAUCGGCCUCUCUCACAGCUUACUUUGACGCUGACUGGGCCGCUGCCCCCAACACCAGACGUUCGACCUCUAGAUAUUGUGUCUAUCUCGGUUAUACUUUGGUCUCCUUGUCGUCCAGACGCCAGACCACGGUAUCUUGCAUAUGGUCACCUACCGGAUAUGUACUGAUUUGGCUAGGGAUUCUCUUGAUCUUCCUUGAUGAUCAAGCAUUGUAA